Molecule: ribosomal RNA, 253 nt
Filed under: uncultured bacterium
Lineage: Bacteria
Description: partial 16S ribosomal RNA
Rfam family: Bacterial small subunit ribosomal RNA
Source: RNAcentral
GACGUAGGGCGCGAGCGUUGUCCGGAUUCACUGGGUUUAAAGGGUGCGUAGGUGGGUUUGUAAGUCAGUGGUGAAAUCUCCAAGCUUAACUUGGAAACUGCCGUUGAUACUAUAAAUCUUGAAUGUUGUGGAGGUGAGCGGAAUAUGUCAUGUAGCGGUGAAAUGCUUAGAUAUGACAUAGAACACCAAUUGCGAAGGCAGCUCACUACACAAAGAUUGACACUGAGGCACGAAAGCGUGGGGAUCAAACAGG